UGAGGAAUAUUGGUCAAUGGUCGGGAGACUGAACCAGCCAAGCCGCGUGAAGGAAGAAGUAUCUCGGUAUGUAAACUUCUAUCAGCAGGGAAGAAAAUGACGGUACCUGACUAAGAAGCCCCGGCUAACUACGUGCCAGCAGCCGCGGUAAUACGUAGGGGGCAAGCGUUAUCCGGAUUUACUGGGUGUAAAGGGAGCGUAGACGGCAUGGCAAGUCUGAAGUGAAAGCCCGGGGCUCAACCCCGGGACUGCUUUGGAAACUGUCAGGCUAGAGUGCUGGAGAGGUAAGUGGAAUUCCUAGUGUAGCGGUGAAAUGCGUAGAUAUUAGGAGGAACACCAGUGGCGAAGGCGGCUUACUGGACAGUGACUGACGUUGAGGCUCGAAAGCGUGGGGAGCAAACAGGAUUAGAUACCC
This 415-nucleotide ribosomal RNA is filed under the name uncultured bacterium. RNAcentral describes it as "bacterial SSU rRNA". It matches the Rfam family "Bacterial small subunit ribosomal RNA", at positions 355 to 787 of the family's 1533-position model. The record is from RNAcentral.